CUGCUCUGAAGGUCGGCCCUGCUGUGCCCUCUGGAGGUCGCCUCUACGCUGCUCUGGAGGUCCUCUGGAGCCCUGCUCUGCUCUGGAAAACUCCUAUGCUCUGGAGGCCUCCUCUGCUCUGGAGGACAGCUCUGCUCUAGAGGACUUCUCUGCCCUGGAAGUCUGCUCUGCUCUGGAGGACAGCUCUGCUCGGGAGGUGAUGUUUCUCCGCUGCUCUGCUCUGGAGAUUACACGCUGAUGUUGG
Molecule: long non-coding RNA, 244 nt
Filed under: Salvia miltiorrhiza (redroot sage)
Lineage: Eukaryota; Viridiplantae; Streptophyta; Magnoliopsida; Lamiales; Lamiaceae
Description: long non-coding RNA (SMIL_LNC004533)
Source: RNAcentral